AAGCAAAAGAAUCUGCACAGCAAGGGGAAGAAAAUCAGAUCUCAACUCCUGCGAGUGAAAAUGAUGAAGGAAUCAGAGGUGAUCUCGAGGCCUCUACAACCCCAAUGGAUGCUGAACCUGAAACUGCUAGUGUGACUGACAUGGUGUCCCAAGGUGGCAGUCCAAUGCCGGACGAAAACCAGAAGCAAAGCUCUGACACAGAUGCCCGUCCAGAGAUGGGCCAAUUGGAAGCAGAUUCUGAGGCAGAGGCGGGGAUCAUUGAGGGUGAGGUUGAUUUAGAUGCAGCUUCCUGACUAUGCCAACAACAAGUUCGAUUUGGAAGAGAACGAACUCGUCUUCAUUUCCAGAACACCAAGCAAACUUUUACAGCCUUGUAAUGCUCCAUUCUUAAAGGUAUUAUAACCAGCUUAGUGAAACUUUAGUGGCUCAUUCCUUCAAAGCUGCAAAAAUAUUUAUUUCUUGUAGGAUCAAAUCAUUACUUCUUUAUGCUCUUAGUCAAAACAGUUUUGCUCUUUUUUUA
This is a long non-coding RNA of Cannabis sativa, 520 nucleotides long. RefSeq lists it as uncharacterized. The transcript is spliced from 2 exons. The record is from RefSeq and is a predicted model, not a curated record. NCBI's taxonomy places the organism in Eukaryota, Viridiplantae, Streptophyta, Magnoliopsida, Rosales, Cannabaceae.